This 495-nucleotide ribosomal RNA is filed under the name uncultured bacterium. RNAcentral's name for it is "partial 16S ribosomal RNA". It matches the Rfam family "Bacterial small subunit ribosomal RNA", at positions 28 to 507 of the family's 1533-position model. The record is from RNAcentral.
GACGAACGCUGGCGGCGUGCCUAAUACAUGCAAGUAGAACGCUGAAGGAGGAGCUUGCUUCUCUGGAUGAGUUGCGAACGGGUGAGUAACGCGUAGGUAACCUGCCUGGUAGCGGGGGAUAACUAUUGGAAACGAUAGCUAAUACCGCAUAAGAGUAGAUGUUGCAUGACAUUUGCUUAAAAGGUGCAAUUGCAUCACUACCAGAUGGACCUGGGUUGUAUUAGCGUGUUGGUGGGGUAACGGCUCCCCAAGGCGACGUUACAUAGCCGACGUGAGAGGGGGGACGGCCGCACUGGGACGGGGACCCGGCCCAGACUCCUUCGGGUGGCAGCCGUAGGGCAUCUUCGGCCAUGGGCGGAAGUCUGUCCGCACUACGCCGCGGGCGUGGAGAAGGUUUUCGGGUCGGAAAGCUCUGUUGUCAGAGAAGAACGAGUGUGAGAGUGGAACGUUCACACUGUGACGGUAGCUUACCAGAAAGGGACGGCUAACUACGUG